This 776-nucleotide ribosomal RNA is filed under the name Agrococcus sp. RNAcentral describes it as "bacterial SSU rRNA". It matches the Rfam family "Bacterial small subunit ribosomal RNA", at positions 68 to 853 of the family's 1533-position model. Lineage: Bacteria; Bacillati; Actinomycetota; Actinomycetes; Micrococcales; Microbacteriaceae. The record is from RNAcentral.
GAUGAAGGAGGAGCUUGCUCCUCUGGAUUAGUGGCGAACGGGUGAGUAACACGUGAGCAAUGUGCCCUUGACUCUGGAAUAAGCGCUGGAAACGGCGUCUAAUACCGGAUACGACCUUCGGAGGCAUCUCCUGUUGGUGGAAAGAACUUCGGUCAAGGAUCAGCUCACGGCCUAUCAGCUUGUUGGUGAGGUAACGGCUCACCAAGGCGACGACGGGUAGCCGGCCUGAGAGGGUGACCGGCCACACUGGGACUGAGACACGGCCCAGACUCCUACGGGAGGCAGCAGUGGGGAAUAUUGCACAAUGGGCGCAAGCCUGAUGCAGCAACGCCGCGUGAGGGACGACGGCCUUCGGGUUGUAAACCUCUUUUAGCAGGGAAGAAGCGAAAGUGACGGUACCUGCAGAAAAAGCACCGGCUAACUACGUGCCAGCAGCCGCGGUAAUACGUAGGGUGCAAGCGUUGUCCGGAAUUAUUGGGCGUAAAGAGCUCGUAGGCGGUUUGUCGCGUCUGCUGUGAAAUCCCGAGGCUCAACCUCGGGCUUGCAGUGGGUACGGGCAGACUAGAGUGCGGUAGGGGAGAUUGGAAUUCCUGGUGUAGCGGUGGAAUGCGCAGAUAUCAGGAGGAACACCGAUGGCGAAGGCAGAUCUCUGGGCCGUAACUGACGCUGAGGAGCGAAAGCAUGGGGAGCAAACAGGCUUAGAUACCCUGGUAGUCCAUGCCGUAAACGUUGGGAACUAGAUGUGGGGACCAUUCCACGGUCUCCGUGUCGUAGCU